This is a long non-coding RNA of Cavia porcellus (domestic guinea pig), 9306 nucleotides long. RefSeq lists it as uncharacterized. NCBI's taxonomy places the organism in Eukaryota, Metazoa, Chordata, Mammalia, Rodentia, Caviidae. The transcript has 2 exons. The record is from RefSeq and is a predicted model, not a curated record.
UGGAUGCUUUUGAUCAUUUUCUUUAUAUGUGUUUUUAAAAAAUUAGAAGAAAACCAUACUUCAGUUUUGACAGCAUCUAAUGAAGCAUUGCUCUUUGGCAAUUUGCCAUUUAAUUAUUUAAGCCUCACAUGAUCUGUUUAGCAAAUGGUGGGUGUGCCUUUGAGGAGAAAUCAAAAGACUUCUGGUAUUUUAUUAUUGUUUGCAUUUUGUAAAAGUGAGUAGGGGUACGUGAACAGUACUUUUCUCAUUCAGAACGCAGAUGCAUCCUUUAAAGCUGUGAAGGGAUUGGUAAGAAGGCCUUAUAUUAAGUGAUGAGCAUAUCCUCCACCAUUUGUCCCCACUUUCAGUCCUGAUUAUCACAAUUGCCUUUUGUGCUUUUCUUAAGUGUCCCUAAACCUGUGGUGAACCUAUGGCACAUGUGCUGUAGCAGAAUGGUUUUAUCAUUGAAAACUCUGAAACAUUCACUAUCACUGCCCUAUAUCAUAGUUUAAGAUUCUGAGCUACCUUUUUUGCUGGGUGUUGUAGUUAGGGGUUGCAAGGAGAACAAUUAUAUAUAGGACAUAUAAUUUAUAGUAUUGUAUUUAUAAUGGUCAUCCAACAAGUCAAAUAUAAAGAAAGUGUGAAAAACCUGUCCACAAUACUAAAGACCUGGAAAAUCCAACUGAGGCCCUAGAUCCUAUUGCACUAACCUUCAUGAAUUCAGCUGAAAACCUAGAGCCCGUGAUAAUUCCUCUCAUGAGUCCAACUGAAGGCCCAGAGCCUAUAAUGACUCAUGCAAGUCUGCUUUACAGAUCUGUGCUGAGAAGCCCCAAAGGUCAGUGGUAGAAGCUAGAAAGUCAAUGGAGUGAACAGUGAAGUACAUAUCUGGAAGCUAGUGUUAUAAGCUUCUCCUGGAGAUUAAAUAGUAUAUAUCUUCCCUUUGGAGCAAGGAAGGGAUACUCAAAGUAAGGACCAAACCUCCCCUGAAGUGAACCAUUGCCAUUCUCAGUGUUGUAGUCAGGGGUUGCAAGGACAACAAUUAUAUACAGCACACAGAAUUUGUAAUACUACUUUAUGAUGAUCACCUGGAGUUAAAUACAAGAAAGUGAAGAAAAUCUGUCCACAGCACUAAAGACCUAAAAAAUCCAGGCAAGGGCCUGGAUGCCCCAGUAAAUGUCCUGUGUGAGUCCAGCUAAAACCACCUUGAACCCGUGACAACCUCCCCCAUGAGUCCAACUAGAGGUCUAGUGCCCAUGACAAAUGACUCAUGCAAGUCUGUUUUAUGGAUCUGUGUUGGGAAACCCCAGAGAUCAGCGGUGGAAGCUAGAAAGUCUACGCCAGGAGGAUGAAGGAUCUGUUCCAACAGGUUGAGUGAGGGUUCUACACUGGAGCUAAGAAGCAACACUCAAUAUAAGAACCAGGGUUCAGGGGCCAGGGAUUUAGCUCAUUGGCAUAAGCACUUGUCAGGCAUGUGCAAGGUUGAGUUUGAUCCUUGGUAAACAAACAAACAAAAGAACCAGGGCUCCUCUGAAAAUUACCACAGCCAUCCUCAGUGACAAUGAGGUCCUGAGCUCCUCCAGUGAUGAUAAUAUUCCAGUAUGUAUCAUGCAACCAGUGCAACAAACCUCUUGAAGAUUAAACAGCACACAUCUUCCCCUCCAGAGCCAGGAAGCAAUGCUCAGUGUAAGGACCAGGGCUUCUCCAAAGUGAACCAUAGCCAUUCUGAGUGACAAGGUUCUGAGCUCCUCUGAUAAUGGCCAAACUCAUACUGGGGAAGACAGCAUGACAAGAUCCAUCCUCCAGGAGAACAAGUGGUUCCAAACAACAACACUUGCGAACCCACAAUGCCGCAUUCUUCCUCUCCAUGUCUCCUUUUAUGCUGGCAACUUUCAUCAAAGGUGUGCCACCUACACCCAGCACCAUGCUGAUUUAGUUCAGCUGGUAUUAAGUUCACCACCAGAUUUUAAUCCAUAACACUGAACAACAAGGUUCUGAAUUCCUCCGAUGAUAACAGCUGAGUUCAUAUCAGGGGAGCUAGCAUGGGAAGCUCCUCCAGAAGAGCCAACAGCUCCAAACAGCAACACUUAGAAUCCAUAAUGCUACUCUUCCUCUAUCAGUCUCUUUUUAUGCUGACAGUAGUCCUCCAAUGGGCCAUCUACACUUAGCACCCACACUGAUUAAGUUCAGCUUGGUGUUUUAAGCUGAUCACCAGUUACUAAUACACCACACUUGAAGUAUGUUGUAUUAAAGUCUGCUGGGGCACCCACUUGUGGAUAGGGUUGUACACAUGUGUAUACCCACAUGCACAGCAUAUACACACAAAGUAAACUCUGAGAAACUUGCCUUGACUAUGAACUUCUGAAUGGCAGAGCUGAUGCCACGAUCUGCCUCUCUUGCCAGGUUUCUCACCCAUGCAGUCUCCUUGCAUGGAAGCAACAGAACCAACUACUUCAUUUGCAGGACCCAGUGUAAAGUAGCAAGAAGGGACCCUUGUUCAAAUUUCAAGACAUCUAUAGUGAAAAUGGGUUCAAAAAUAGGAUCCAUCUGUAAAUCCUGUAUACCAGACCUAGGAGUCAUGGUUAGAAGCUCCUGUUCCAGUAGGGCCCCACUCUUAGGGAGAAAGAAUUUUGUGGAAAACUCUUGACAUGAUUUAAAAAUAGUCACUGGCUAGUAUACUGUGAAAAUAUCUACCUUAACACCCAUACAAGGGCAUUAAGCUAGAGGAACACUGGAAUCCUGACACGUCCUGAGCUCCAUCUCACUAAACCUCUCUAAAUGUUAAGGAAGCAGAAGAAAGCUGCUGUUGGUCAUGUCCCUCUACUGCUGCCCUGUUGGUGGUGUAAGAACCGUUUAAAACUGAUUUGUUCUUUAGCCUGAACUACUUUUAUUACCCUUUAAAUCUGGUUAUUAUGCUUUAUCUGUGGGACUCACUGAAAAUUUGCUUACAGAGGGAAUAAUUAGUAUUUUUAGUUGUAGAAACUGUGUUUUAUGUGGCCACAUGGGAUUUUAGAGUUUGUGGUACUUUUUAAUGUAUAUAAAAAUGAACACACAAAGCAGAUUCACACUAUAUAGUAAUGGAGUCCUAUAAAGAAUUAGUUUUGUAGAUUUGUUCUUGAAAUAGUGGAGGGAAGUGCAUUCUUGUAAAUUGAGUCAUUGCUAGAAAAUUACACGUGAUUUAUUUUUAAAUAGUUUUCUGAUUGCAGAAGUCUUUAACACAUAAAAAAUUCCAUUUGUACAAAAAUAUAAAAUUCAGAAAAAUAAAAGUUUCUUGUGCUAUCACCUCACCCUAAUUGUCAUAUAUUACUUUUGUUCUUUUAAAAUGCAAAUUGUCUCCUCAUGUGUCUAUAACCACAGCAUUUUACAUACAAAUUUAAAGACUGCAUUUUUUAGCUUACAGAACCUUAGGCUUCUAUCCAUGUGAAUCCAUAUGGUUUCAUCUUUUUUUUUGCUGGAGGCAUAGUAUUUCUGUGAAUAAGUAUAAUGGUUUACUGAGCACCCAUUGAUACACUUUUUUUUUUUUUUUUUAGUGAAAUCAGCACUGAAUGUUUGAAUACUUUGAUAUGUGGGGGCUUUAGCCAUGAUAAUGGCCCUGUCCUUCAUUUUCAGAAGCACUAUGAUAUAAAUUCUAGCAAUACUAUUGUUCGCUGAUUAGAAUGACAUUGGGCUGGUUUCUUGAGUUCAAUUUCAGCAUAUGUAGAGAUGGGGACAGCUAUCACAAAGAGAAUGAGAGAUGGGAUGGUAGUUACUAUUGUCUUCCCUAAUUUGGAACUUGAGGAUCUAAAACGCCUUCAUCAUCCUGUAAUGAUUUGAUUAGUUCUAUAAUAUGCAAUAAGUAUAUAAAGUGGAUGAAGAUGGGGACAACUAUUUGUAAGAAACUAGAGACAGUUAGAUAGACAGGGAAGAUCUCCAGUGGACUUGCUUUGAAAUCUGUAUUUCUUUAAUUUUUUUAACUGUUUUGUUCUGUUUUGAUAUGUUUAAUCUUACCCUCUUUGAGAUGUAAAACAAAUGUGUAGGACUGAUAACCAUAUUACUGAGCUUUUGUUUAAUCAUAGAGCAGAAUGGUUUGUAGUGUCACUUUUUGAAUGUCAUUCUAAAUACUUUAAUUCUAUAACCUGAACAGCUAUUUCUAAGAUGACAAUGUGUAACUUAUCAACCAGCAAUUUCUUACCGUUUGUUUUUCUGUAAUUUUGUAUUAUUUCUAACCCUUUUUUUUAAUCUCCAUGUAUUUUUUUUGUUUCCUUUUCUUUAAAUAAAAAAAAAUGUCAAAAAAAAAUUCAAAAUGCACACAGAGUCUAUUGAGUAUUGCAACAAAAGUAACAGUCUCAUCCAGAUUUUUGUUUCCCAGGAUAUUCAGUGAACACUCCAUCUUUCUUGAGCCAUUGGGUUGAAAGAGGAGGAACUGACCUGGAGUCAGGGAUUAAAAGUCAUCACUUAGUAUUUACUAUGCAGCUUGAAAGAGCAAGGAUAAACUUUUAAGGAUUUAUAAUAUGUGAAUCCUAAGAGUGAGAACUAGGAUAGAUUUGCUUAUAUGGUUAAGAAGGAUAUUUUGGGCUUAUUUUAUGUGCCAGGCAUAGUGCUCAUUUCUGGGAUGUAGAUAUGAUGUUUUCAGGCUGAAGUCUUUUUCUUUUUGUGUGUAAGUGUUUCCACAUUUAGGAGCCAACAUUUAAACAGGUGUAAUAAUAAUUAACCUGUUAGAAAGAAUUUUUACAGAUUAAGUUAAUACUGGCUUAGAAACUUAAGAUAGGCGAUGUUCGAUGCGUAUCUCAUAGUCUGUUCAGGCUGUUAUAAAAAAAUAUCACAAUUUGAGUUGCUUAUAAACCACUGAAAUUUCUUUCUUAUAGUUUGGAGGCUGUGAAAUCUAAGACUUGGACACCAGCAUAUUGGUGUCUGGUGAAGAUCCGUACAAUGCCAAGAUUUUUGCUAUUCCCACAUAGGAGAAGAGAUGAGGGAUCUUUCUGGGGUCCUUUUCAGAUGGGAAUAAGUUCUUUUCUUUCAAGUUCCACCCUUACAAUCUAAUCACCUUAUAAAAGCUCUGUCUCUAGCUACCAUCACAUAGGAUAUUAUCUUUCAACAUAGCAAUCUGAGAGAACACAAACAGUUCUAAAAUGUAGCAUAAAUGAAAUCAAAUAGUAUUACAUAACCUUUGGGAAGUUUGUUUUUAUUUUUUUUUACCCCCCAAUCAGGUUAAUUUUGUAGACAUUCAUUGAGGUUCUUGUUUCAGAGGUUUGUUCCUUUUUAAUACUAAGUAGCAUUCUGUAAUACUGAUGUACCACAGUUUGUUUAACUGUCAUCUGUUGAAGGCCUUCUGGGUUGUUUCAACCACUCUACAUCCUUUUGUAACCAGAUGUUGGUGUGAAUGUUACAUCUUCAUUUCCAGGGAGAUACUGUUGAGUUAUAUUUUAGUUGAGUGAUUCAUCUUUUCAGAAAUUGACAAAUGUUCUCAAGGGACUGUACUAUUUUACAUAACUUCUCAUAGUACAUGAAUAACCAUUCUAGGCAGCAUUUGGUAGUGGUAUUUUUUUCUUUUAUUCUAGUCAUUCUGAUAGGGGUGCUGUGAUAUUUCAUUCUGAUUUUAAUUUGCAUUUCCCUAGCAGCUGAAGAUGUUAAACAUCUUUAUUUGCUUACUUGCCAUCUGUGUAUUGUCGUUGGUGAAUUGUUCUUUAUGCCUGCUGUGGUCUGAAUGUCCCCUCCAAAAUUUAUGCUGAAACUUGACUCGUAUUGUUGUGGCAUUAGAGAUAGGACCUUUUGAGAAUGCACAAGGGCUCUGCUGCCGUGAAGGGGUUUGUGUGCCUUCUGAAAAGCUGAAGAAAACUAGCUUAGACCUUUUUGUCUCUCUGCCUUCUGACAUGUGAGGAUGCAGCAAAAGAGCACUCACUAGCUAGAGUGAUAGCACCUUGAUAAUGAUGUCCUAGAAUUCAAAACUGUGUGAAAAAAUAAUUUAUUGUUAUUGUUGUUAUUCAUUUAGAGGUAGAGUAUCACUUUGUUACCCAUGGUGACCUCUAACUAACUAACAAAUGUGAUCCUUGUACCUCUGCCUUCUAAGUGUCUCAGAUGCAAGUAUAUACCAAAAACCAUUUGGCUUAAGUUUUUGUUCUUUGUACUCUCUGGUAAUUUGUUUGAGUAGCACAGAUAGUAAAAGACAGUGUCUUUUGUUUAUUUUCCAAUUAGAUUAUGUAUUUUAUUACUACUGAGUUCUGAGAUUUAUCCUAGAUGCUGGUCAGUUUGAAGUGUGCUUCUCAAAUGUUUUCUCCUGUUACAAAUUCAUAUAUUCCUGAUCUUCAAUGUUAUGUUUUACAAAAUGUCUUAAUUUUGAUGAAGUGAAGUACAUCAGAGUUUCUUUUAUGAAUUGUUGGGCUGUUGGAAUGAGAUCUGAGAACUCUAUAUCCAACCCUAAGUAACAAGAUUUGCUCUUUUUUUUUUCUAAAAUUUUUUAUAUAUAUCUAUUCAAGUUGGUACUCAAAUUUAGGUUAAUUUGUAUACAAUGAUAGACUUAGGUUGAGGCUCCUCUCCCACCUGUGGAUGUUCACUUAUUUCUGAAAUACUUUUUUAAAAGACUUAUCUUUCCUACUAAAAUGCAUUGACAACUUUGUUGAAAGUCCACUAGUUAUAUUUAUUUGGUCCUGUUUUAGGGUUCUUUUUUCCCUUUCACUGGUAUAUUUGUUUAUCUUUCUACCACUACACAAUCUUAAUUUCUAUAGCUACAUAAGUUACGAAGGUGCGGAUACUAAUUUCCUUACUUUAUUCUUUUUUAAGGCACUUUAAUCUAUUUCAGUUCUUAUGCUUUCCUAUAAACAAUUUAAAAUAAUCUUGUCUUUAUUUAUAAAAAAUCUUGCUAAGAAUUUUGUUAAGCUUUUAUAUCAGUUUAAAGAGAAUUGAUGUCUUUGCUAUAUUGUCUCACAGUCCAUUAAUACAGUGUGUCUCUUCUUUUAGGUGGAUUGACUUGAUUCCUUUCAUCAUUAUUGGGUAGUUCUCUGUGUACUAUAUAAGGUUGGCAUAGAUGUUGUUAGAUUCACACCUAUUACUUCUCUUUUUUUUUUUUUUUUUUCAAUAGCAGUUAAUAGUGGCACUGGAACCUCAAUUUCAUUGUCCUACAUGUUCCUUAAAGUUGCUGUUAAUUCCAUUCUAAAUGCUUGGUAACUUUUUCUAGUGAAGCAUUGUGGACCUGGAGAUUUCUUUCUCUCUUCUUGUUGGGAUUGCUGUUUCGCCAGCUCCUCCAGCAUCAGGUUUAAGACUGAUGAGACAAAAGGAAGAGAGAGGGGACUUCCCACCACGUCCUGCCUUGUAUUUCAAGCUAGCUAGUCUGUCGUCUUUAUAACUUUGAGUCAUUUUAAGUUAUUUAUCUAUCUAUGUUAUGGUCCAAGGUUUUAUUUGUAUUAGAACAAAUGCUAACACUAAGGUGUUAAGGGAAAAUGUAUUUCUGUACCAUCUGUUCAAACUCAAAAGUCUCAGUGUUACAGAAACUUUUAAUUUUUAUGUUUACUUGAGAUGCUAAACAUAGCUAAACACACCCAUGCAUUCAUACACUGCACUUGUUUUCUGACUCUGUGCCAAUGUGUGAUGUGUUGCUUGGGAUAGGAAAAGGGAAUUGAGGUAGCACUGUUCAUCCUGGGGCACAUGAGUCACAGUACUGGUUUCUGCUCUGCAGUAAAAUUUUAAAAAUAUAGUCUUUUAGUCAUAUUCCUUCAUAAUUAUUUUAUAGACAGUUUGUACACAGGCAUUUGUCAACAGACAACAAUUUGAAUAGAAAGGUACUCAAAAAAGAAAUGGACAGAUUUGGUGGUCAAAUAGGGUCACUCCCACUGCAGAUACUAACCUCGUUGAUCGGCAAAGGAGAGAGACCCUUUCCCACAGGUACCAAGGAGUCAUAGUCCCUGUAGGAAAGGAGAAAGGCCCCACCUUGCCCCUGCUGCAGACAUCAGAACCUCAUGUGCCCAGUGGGUGAGACAACUGACUCCACAGCAACACUGAUGCCUCGUGGGCCCUGUGAGUAAGAACGAGCUCUUUAUAUACUGCUGACACCAGGGCUGUAUCCCUCCUGUGGCUCAGAGUAGCAGAAGUUAUAGCCAAAAGACUGACCUGAUUGAAGGUGACACUGAAAUCCAAGAGGAGAGUUUUACUCCAGCAAUAAAAUGUUAACUUGCUUUUAGAGACUAAGCGAUAGAAUAUGUUUGAAGACAAGCUUGGAGGGCAUGAAAGCUAAAUGGGUGUUUACAGAGAUCCACAUGGAUGCUGAGAUCCGGUCCUGUAUACUGUUGUGUGCGGCAGUAGUUAGUGGAUAUAACCUUUUCGAGGGAAAAAAUAUGAAGGAGAUAGCAUUUAAUCUAGUAGUAUCCUUGAGUCUUGUACUUCUUUCUAUAUCUACCAGAAAUUACUGAGUUACCAAAAUCAAUAUGUGGGUAGCCUUACUGUCUUCACAAAACUUACAGACCUUUUGCUCUGGUUGAGAGCAGAUCUUAGGAUUUGUCUGUUUCUAGUUGAUAUUUGAUGCCACUGUUAUUGUUGACUUUACUCGUAUACCCAAGGUAAUAUUCAGUAAGUCACCAAAUUAUGAACAAGUUCCAUUCCAAGAGAAUUGUUUGGAAGUCAGAUUCCUCCAUAAACCAACAAAAGUGAAUUUGAUAUGGUACAUCUGUGAAUGUUUGCAAUUUGAAUAUUUGUAAGGCAGAAACUUAUUGUAGUUAUUGCUGUCAAUUUGCUUUCUGUGUAUACCAAUAUCUGGAUUGCCUAUAGGUCAUAAACAUACUGGGGGCAGACUACCAAAGAACCAGGCACUGGGACAAAGCCGCAAACUCUGGCACAAAAACAAGCAAACAAAUAAUAGAAAUACAAAAAGCAUCUAUAAACUCUGAAUUUCACCAGAACCAGUUUAAUGGGUCAUGAUGGAGAAAAAAAGCAUAAGCCACACAGCAAUAAGAUCUGAAAGAUUAUCGAUGAAGGUAAAAUUGUUCAAUAUGGUGCUUAGCAAAUUUAAAGAAGAUAUAACUAAUCAGAUAAUAACCCUAAUAAAAAAAAUGAUUGGGCCAUCUAGAGAAGGCACUAAUAAAAAUCUAGUGGAACAAAAGAAAGAAAUGCUUAACAUGAGCACCCAGCAGGAAAAGAAUCCAUACAAAAGUUCCAAACAGAAGUAAAAGAACUAAAAUUUCAAUUGAAAAUGAGUGGAUAGUAGAAAUGACCAGUUUGAGGAUAGUGUCAAAUCUAAGGACAAGGUUGUGAUCAGUGAUUAAUUAAUGAGAGAUAUCUUAAAAACAACAAGAGGAAUAUUAAAAAUGGAUCCAACAACUACUAGAUGACUUGAAGAAUAGUGUAGGUCUUAGAUAAAAAGCAAAA